Ananas comosus (pineapple) is the source of this 498-nucleotide long non-coding RNA. RefSeq lists it as uncharacterized. The transcript has 3 exons. The record is from RefSeq and is a predicted model, not a curated record. NCBI's taxonomy places the organism in Eukaryota, Viridiplantae, Streptophyta, Magnoliopsida, Poales, Bromeliaceae.
AAAUGACUUGGACAAGUUUUUGAAUAAGUUAGAGAGUGAUUGGGGGGUUAAAAGCAAGAAAGUGCAUUGAACUGGUGAAAUUCAGUUUUUUCGGCUUCGUGUACCGGUACAGCCACUAUGGUGUACCGGUACACAGUGGCAAUAUGCGGCAGCAAGGCUACUUUGGAUUUUCUCUCACUAAGUUGAAGACGUCGUUUUGCGCCGGUUUUGCGUCGCGCUCGUCGCUCGCUGGUUGAGUGGACUAGGGGACAGCUUUUAAAAGAGUUUGUUAUGGUUUCCUGCAGCUAGACAGGAGGUAUCUAGCUGUGAUUUACCCACUUUGAUCCAGGGAAAAGUUGCUUUGAGGCUUGAUACAGGUUUUUAGUCAACUAAUGAGGCUAUUUCGGAUCUAUAUGCGAUUUGUUGGAACAACUUGACGCAGUUUGGGAGUGCUUCUUCGCAGCAGAUUUUCGAAGUUAAUUGAGCUUAUUUGGUGACCUUGGGGACUGGUUUAGAAGG